RNAcentral lists this long non-coding RNA (1376 nucleotides) under Sarcophilus harrisii (Tasmanian devil). RNAcentral describes it as "lncRNA (ENSSHAG00000025464.1)". The record is from RNAcentral. Lineage: Eukaryota; Metazoa; Chordata; Mammalia; Dasyuromorphia; Dasyuridae.
UGGGGGUAAUUCCAGCCUGAGUCUUUUUUUCUGUCCAGGCCCCACCCCCUUCUUCAGGCCCCUCCCUCCGCCGCUUCUGCGCCUGCGGCCUGGAGCUCCGGGGCGCGCGGACGGGCGGGGCGGGGCAGGGCGGAGCGCGCGCGGGGGCGCGGACGCGGGGGCGCGCGCCGCCGCUCCCUGCUUCCCCUGCGAGGCUCGGUCUCGGCGGCUCCGGCUCCGGCUCCGGCGGCCCCGGGCGGGCCGCACCAUGCCCCGCGGCGGAGGAGGCGGAGGAGGAGGCGGGAGCGAGAGCGGACUCGGCAUCGGGCCUCCGGGGAGGCGCUAAGCGGGCUCCGGGGCCAUGGGGGAUGGAGCGGCCGCGGCCCGGCCCGGCCCCGGCCCCGAUCCCGAGCCCUGCCCCGCGGGGCCCUGAGCGCCGAGCGCAGCUGGGCCGGCAGGACCAAUGCCCAGGCCGAGCUGGGCAGCCAGAAGAUGAGCAGGCUGCUGGGGGGGACCCUGGAGCGGAUCUGCAAGGCCGUGCUGCUCCUCUGUCUGGCCCCUGGGCCCCCCAUCCUCUCUUUGGCGCUAUGCCCCACCCUCCCUUCAGUGCCAUGCCCGGGCCAACCCGACCCUUUCCGCCCCGGGCGGGCCGGGCCCCCCCCCCCCAGGCCGGCCCCCCUGGAGGCUCCCCCGGGGGGCCCAUUCGGUUACCACGUUGCCCCUGCCCCCGUGCCCUGACGUGCCACCUGGGUUAGGUGAGGCCCCUCGCAGGGCGUGGGAGGCAGCUCUGUAUGUGGGGGUUCAAUCCCGGGGGGGGGCCCAGGCCCCGGCUUCCCCCGCGCCCCUCCCUCCCCCUGGGCCCGGCGCUGAUUGUUUGGCUCACCCAGCCGGAUCCCAACAGGAGGGAACCCUGGGGAAGGGGGCCGCUUUCCCCCGACCCCCCCUCGCAAACCGUGGCCAUCAUCAUUCCCUUCCCCAACGGGGCACCACCUUGAUUAACUGCCUCCUAUCCCCGGAGCGCUGGCUAUGGCAUCUCGCUCAGCCAGGUGUGGGGGAGGGGGAAAGGGGGUCCAGGGAGCAGGUCAGGCGCCCCGCUUAGCCAGCCCAGAGCCCUGAACCACUAAGGUUGGAGCCCCCUGAGGCCAGUCUGGGCCACUGAGGAACAAUACCACCAAUGUGCCCAGGGUGUCCUCAUCUGCAGAUGUACCAGUGUGCCCAGAGUGUCCCCACUUGCACAUGUGCCAUUGUUCCUGGGGUGUCCCCACCUGCCGAUGUGCCAGUCUGCUCGGGGUGUCCCCACCUGCACAUGUGCCAGUGUGCCCGGGGUGUCCCCACCUGCACAUGUGCCAGUGUGCCCGGGGUGUCCCCACCUGCACAUGUGCCAGGUGGGGUGUCCC